ACGCUCGACACCUACGGGAGACAGCAGUCGGGAAUAUUGCGCAAUGGAGGAAACUCUGACGCAGUGACGCCGCGUAUAGGAAGAAGGUUUUCGGAUUGUAAACUAUUGUCGUUAGGGAAGAAAAAGGACAGUACCUAAGGAGGAAGCUCCGGCUAACUACGUGCCCGCAGCCGCGGUAAUCUGAGCGGGCUGGCAAGGC
RNAcentral lists this ribosomal RNA (199 nucleotides) under uncultured bacterium. Its description in RNAcentral is "partial 16S ribosomal RNA". It matches the Rfam family "Bacterial small subunit ribosomal RNA", at positions 328 to 539 of the family's 1533-position model. The record is from RNAcentral.